This 450-nucleotide ribosomal RNA is filed under the name uncultured bacterium. RNAcentral describes it as "partial 16S ribosomal RNA". It matches the Rfam family "Bacterial small subunit ribosomal RNA", at positions 338 to 795 of the family's 1533-position model. The record is from RNAcentral.
CCUACGGGUGGCAGCAGUAAGGAAUAUUGGUCAAUGGACGAAAGUCUGAACCAGCCAUCCCGCGUGCAGGAUGAAAGCCCUAUGGGUUGUAAACUGCUUUUAGCAGAGAAGAAAAGCUUUCAUUCAUGAGAGUCUGACGGUAUCUGCAGAAUAAGCACCGGCUAACUCCGUGCCAGCAGCCGCGGUAAUACGGAGGGUGCGAGCGUUAUCCGGAUUAACGGGGGUGUAGGCGGGGGAUUAAGGCAUUUUUGAAAUCUUGUCGCUUAACGAUAAAAUUGCCAAAGAUACUGGUACUCUUGAAUUGGGUUGAGGUUAGCGGAAUGUGACAUGUAGCGGUGAAAUGCAUAGAUAUGUCAUGGAACACCAAUUGCGAAGGCAGCUAACUGGGCCUUGAUUGACGCUGAGGCACGAAAGCGUGGGUAGCGAACAGGAUUAGAUACCCUGGUAGUC